This 348-nucleotide unclassified non-coding RNA is filed under the name soil metagenome. RNAcentral describes it as "partial contains 5.8S ribosomal RNA, internal transcribed spacer 2, and large subunit ribosomal RNA". The stretch from base 1 to 120 matches the Rfam family "5.8S ribosomal RNA", at positions 35 to 154 of the family's 154-position model. The record is from RNAcentral.
GAUGAAGAACGUAGCGAAAUGCGAUAAGUAAUGUGAAUUGCAGAAUUCAGUGAAUCAUCGAAUCUUUGAACGCACAUUGCGCCCGCCAGUAUUCUGGCGGGCAUGCCUGUCUGAGCGUCAUUUCAACCCUCAUGCCCCUAGGGCGUGGUGUUGGGGAUCGGCCAAAGCCCGCGAGGGACGGCCGGCCCCUAAAUCUAGUGGCGGACCCGUCGUGGCCUCCUCUGCGAAGUAGUGAUAUUCCGCAUCGGAGAGCGAUGAGCCCCUGCCGUUAAACCCCCAACUUUCCAAGGUUGACCUCAGAUCAGGUAGGAAUACCCGCUGAACUUCAGCAUAUCAAUAAGCGGAGGA